GACGAACGCUGGCGGCGUGCUUAACACAUGCAAGUCGAACGGAAAGGCCCUGCUUUUGUGGGGUGCUCGAGUUGCGAACGGGUGAGUAACACGUGAGUAACCUGCCAUUGCCUUCGGGAUAACUUCAGGAAACUGGGGCUAAUACGGGAAAGGAGCUCCUGCUGUUUGGUGGGGGUUGGAAAGUUUCGGCGGUUGGGGAUGGACUCGCGGCUUAUCAGCUUGUUGGUGGGGUAGUGGGUUACCAAGGCUUUGACCGGUAGCCGGCCUGAGAGGGUGACCGGCCACAUUGGGACUGAGAUACGGCCCGGACUCCUACGGGAGGCAGCAGUGGGGAAUAUUGCACUGUGGGCGGAAGCCUGAUGCGGCAACGCCGCGUCCGGGAUGACAGCCUUCGGGUUGUAUACCGCUUUCGCCUGUGACGGAGCGUGAGUGACGGUAAUGGGUGAAGAAGCACCGGCUAACUACGUG
Molecule: ribosomal RNA, 468 nt
Filed under: uncultured bacterium
Lineage: Bacteria
Description: partial 16S ribosomal RNA
Rfam family: Bacterial small subunit ribosomal RNA
Source: RNAcentral